GGUCCAUUGGUCAAGCGGUCAAGACGCCGCCCUCUCACGGCGGAAACAGGGGUUCGAUUCCCCUAUGGACUG
RNAcentral lists this transfer RNA (72 nucleotides) under Lachnospiraceae bacterium. RNAcentral's name for it is "tRNA-Glu". It matches the Rfam family "tRNA". Rfam says of the family: Transfer RNA (tRNA) molecules are approximately 80 nucleotides in length. The record is from RNAcentral. Lineage: Bacteria; Bacillati; Bacillota; Clostridia; Lachnospirales; Lachnospiraceae.